This 503-nucleotide ribosomal RNA is filed under the name uncultured bacterium. RNAcentral describes it as "partial 16S ribosomal RNA". It matches the Rfam family "Bacterial small subunit ribosomal RNA", at positions 28 to 523 of the family's 1533-position model. The record is from RNAcentral.
GAUAAACGCUAGCGGCAGGCUUAACACAUGCAAGUCGAGGGGCAGCAUAGAUUGUAGCAAUACAAUUGGUGGCGACCGGCGCACGGGUGCGUAACGCGUAUGCAACCUACCCGUCACAGGGGGAUAAUCCGGAGAAAUCUGGUCUAAUACCCCAUAACAUAUGGAUCGGCAUCGGUUCAUGCUGAAAUUUUCGGAGGUGACGGAUGGGCAUGCGUAGCAUUAGCUUGUUGGUGAGGUAACGGCUCACCAAGGCGACGAUGCUUAGGGGGACUGAGAGGUUUUCCCCCACACUGGUACUGAGACACGGACCAGACUCCGACGGGAGGCAGCAGUGAGGAAUAUUGGUCAAUGGGCGCAAGCCUGAACCAGCCAUGCCGCGUGCAGGAUGACGGCUCUAUGAGUUGUAGACUGCUUUUGUACGAGGGUAAAGUGGGUUACGUGUAACCUUUUGAAAGUAUCGUACGAAUAAGGAUCGGCUAACUCCGUGCCAGCCGCCGCCGUAA